AUUGAACGCUGGCGGCAGGCUUAACACAUGCAAGUCGAACGAGUGGCGGACGGGUGAGUAAUGCUUGGGAAUCUAGCUUAUGGAGGGGGAUAACUACGGGAAACUGUAGCUAAUACCGCGUACCAUAGGAUGAGCCCAAGUGGGAUUAGGUAGUUGGUGAGGUAAAGGCUCACCAAGCCGACGAUCCCUAGCUGGUCUGAGAGGAUGACCGGCCACACUGGGACUGAGACACGGCCCAGACUCCUACGGGAGGCAGCAGUGGGGAAUAUUGGGCAAUGGGCGCAAGCUGACGGAGCCAUGCCGCGUGAGUGAAGAAGGCCUUCGGGUUGUAAAGUUCUGUCGGUAGCGAAGCGUUAUCUACAGAAGAAGCACCGGCUAACUCCGUGCCAGCAGCCGCGGUAAUAC
RNAcentral lists this ribosomal RNA (405 nucleotides) under uncultured bacterium. RNAcentral's name for it is "partial 16S ribosomal RNA". It matches the Rfam family "Bacterial small subunit ribosomal RNA", at positions 30 to 526 of the family's 1533-position model. The record is from RNAcentral.